CCUGUCCCACAUUGUAAGCAUCUGUUGAAUUGAUACAGCUUGAAACCAUUGUAGCUGCCAUGACUCAAUGCUUUGGAAUCAUGGUAGUUGCAGUUUUACAAGAUUUUUACCCUUCUCUGCCAAAAAGUGCUGGUUUCUAAGCAAACUACAAAGAUGCUUUUACAAUGUUAAUCUGGAACUACAGUUUCAGGUUGAUUGUGACCACUUCAGAGAGGCAUAUAAAAAUGUCAACACAGUCACUGAUUGGCCUCUUUAUGCUUUGCUGACUAGCUUGUUGUGAUAUAUUCCUUAGCCUACACUUUCUUACUUCUUCUGUUUGAGGCAUAUAUCAAGCUCUGAUGUGAUUCAGAGCAGGAAAGAUUAUUGAUUGACCAUUAGGACAACAUGCUGCUCAUUAGAUGAUAGCCACUGUGGAAGUAAUAGGAACAUGAGAGACUAAUAAUAAAUGAAGUAUCUUCAUUCAUGGCAUAGCCCACAUGAAGCUUGUCUAGUCUAAGGAUAGUUGUGUUCACCUCAUGAAACAGUUAAAUGUAGAUUAUAGAUCAGGGUCUUCAAACUAUUGCAUCUCUGCAGUGAUAAUACAGAACUGAAAUAGGUGGAAAUGAUUUUGGUUUAGGAAAAAUGGUAGAUAAAGCUACAUAAUAGAGAUGUGCAUUAUUAUAAUGGGUUAGAUGAAGUUGGAAGAUUUUACACAUACACCCAUUAACAUUCUUAGCUUUGGAGUCUAUAUUUGUUUAAUGCUGUAUGGUUCUCAUCAUCCUUAUUGACUUUGUAUUGAUGUCUGAAAUCAUUUUGUCAUGGACCCUAGAACUUUAGCAGAGUCUCCUUAGCUUUCAUCCAACAACAUUUAGUUCUAACAAAUUGACUUCUAAAGUGAAAGUCCCUUUUUGCAAGUCCUUUAUUUCUCCCAGGAAGUCCCUUAACAAGUUCUUUCUAUGUCUUGGAAACUUUCCUACACCUCAAUUUCAACUUCAAAAGGCAUUCAGCACUGUCCUUGAAAAAAAUGUUGUUCAGAUCUAUCUUGUGAAGGUCAUUUCCAUUCAUGUGUUAGUCUUCAUUCAUUUUGCUUACUUUUCUGCAAUGCUUAUGUGACUAGUAAGAGAUUAGCUCUGUUUUUAAAUUAGAUCUGUGAACAGUUGCUCAAUGAUUUAGUUCGGCAGCUCAUUGUACUAGGUUCCCAUUUUUACUCCUGUUUGUUUCUUCUUCAGUCCCCAUUCUCAUUUGGAUCAUCAACUUUUUCUAAAGGAUUUAGGUGGCUCACAAUAGAAUUUUUAGUUUUUGAAAUCUGUGGUUUGCCACCAAUUCUCUGGUAAAUAAAACAAGGAGGAGUUUGACAGAUACUAAUUUAGCUUCUCUGGUCAUCUCAAUUUCCCUCUUUUCCAUGGUAACACUGAACAAGAACUAGAUGUUCACAACUGUCAAAAACUAUCAUGGAAAAUUUCUCAUAUUCCUGAGUCUGCAAACAUAUUCUAUGAGCCAUUUGAUUGGAGUGGUUUUGUUCUCCACAAUCCAUAGAACAAGUGUAAUGGCAGAUGCUUGUGUCUGGUGCAGGGCAACACUGGGCCAUUUAAGCCUGCUCAAGCCUGGAAAAGGCCUUUUUGUUGGUUGCUGUAUCUCACCUGUCUUAUUUAUAUAUAGCAUGGUAUUCCCGAUUAUCUUUUGAGCUAAAUAGGAUUUUUUCUGUGCCUUGAUUGCCCAUUGGAUUUAUUAUUAUUAUUUGAUACACAGCAAGAUUAGUACACAGCAAACAAGAUCGCUAUGUUGGCUAUUGUAUUGAAUCACAUGUUGGACACUUCCCAAGUGUCUAGGACUGUGUGAUGUAUCAGUGAAUAAUGUAUACAGUUCUGAGUAGGGUGGCCUUUUGUAGCAGACAGAUAGUAAUUUUGUCAGUGCCAAUUGUGUUUAAAUGCAGGCCAAGAUCUUUAGGCACUGCACCCAGUGUGCCGAUCACCACUGGGACAAUCUUUACUGGCUUAUGCCAGAGUCUGGUGGAGCCCGUGGGGAACCCAUCACAUCUCACUCCGCAUUGCCCACCUUGCUCCUCAGUCCUCACCACAUCCCAUGGGGGGAAACGUUUGCCACCUGGCUUCCCUCUGUUCUUGCUUAUGCAACACAGGAAGCUUCCCAUGCUGCUGCCAUGGCAACUUAACAUGCUUUCACUUCUCUUGCACCACAGAGCACAGCUGGAUGUAGAUCGAUGUGAGAUGAGAGCUAGCAGACUCCAUGCUACAAGUGAAGUGUCAUACAACAGGCAGUUUUGCCCAUCUGAUGAGGCCCUGACACACAACUCCAAAAGGCUUACCAGAGUCAGUUGAAAAAAAUCUUAUUGCUGCAUAUAGACUACUGAAUUGUCAAGGAUGACUGAGGUUGGUAGAUCAUCAGUAGUACAUCAUCCUGGUGAGUGGGAGUCAUUUUAGCAGCAGACUUUUUCUCAGUUCUCCAAGGAUAAUGAAUGACAUGCACUUACUUUUCUGUCACAAGAAAAAAAUGACACCUCAUAUUGAUUUCUUUUUCAUCUAAAGAAGAUAAAAGAUGAAUAAACCACUUCUUUGGGUGGAUUCUAUAACAAUAAAGCAACAAAUUUUGCAUACCAUUUUCCCUAACAAUUAUGUUUAAAAAUAAUUAUAAAUCUACCUUUCUAUAUAGUAAUAUAAAUACAGUAACUUACCAGGUUGUGUAUUGCAACACCAAAAUUCUCCCUUUUAAAUUUUAUUAUUUUUCUCUAUUCUUAAUACAACACAUGCAAUUAAAAACCAGUAUUUAAUUUCCAUUUGAUAUUUUUAUGUUUUUGAUACCACUAAAACUGUUGCUGUAACCCUAUAUGAGUGUGCAUUAGGUAAAUGGAAUCAUUCCAUGUAAAUUUGCUCUUACCAGUAUGCAAGCAUCCCAGGACACAAUGCUUCCAGUACACAAUGAUGCCCUCCCCUUUUGCAGGCAUUUGCACUUUCUGACAUGGAUGCUGAGGUGAAGAAUGACAUGCUGUAGUCAAUUUGGAAGCAGGGCUAUAUGGUGGUCUCAGUCAACAAUCGUGUGUUGUUUUGAUAAGAACUUAGUCUGACCAUAGUAACAUAAGAUCCAAGAAAUCAGAGAGAAGUUCAAACCAAGAGUAGGGAUGCUAUAUGUCCAACGGGGACACAUUAUAUGACCAGACAGAAUAAAAAGGAUGUAAGUGACACCUAGUGAAACUAUAUAAAAGCUAAACAUGUGAUAUGGAAAGAAGGAAUAGUUUGAGAGGAAGCAGCACUGAGAAGUGGAGGAAGGAAGAUCAACAGUUUAAGAUAUGCAUGUAGCACAAUAUUACUUACAGAAAAUAGCAAAAACAUGAAAGAAUUAUUGAUAAAAAUUAAGGAAGAAAGUAAAAAAGCUGGUUAUAGCUGACUAUUAAAACAAAUGAACAAAAUGAUGACCACAGAUAAUUUACUUAACUUUAAAACUGGUAAUGCAGAUAUUAAAAUAAAGAUUUUCUAUACCUUCAAUCAAUAAUCUCAAUAUAGACUAGAGUAAAAAAUAUCUAUGAAAGUCUGUGACCUGGAAGGACAACUCUGAAACUACUAGAUCAGAUUCUCUAGUGUGUGGAUAGACAGGUAGAUAGAUGAUAUAAAGUCAUCCAUGCCAUAAUAGUUUUACCUCCUCUGUGUGAAUGUAAUAGCUGGGCAAUGAAGAAAGCUGACUGGAAGAAAAUAAACUUAAAGUAGACUUCAUUAACUGGCACUCAUGGGGAUUGGUAGAUAGAUGCCAGAUAAAUGUAGUUUCUAGUUGCUUGAGAAAUAUUAUUAAAAAUAGGUCUAAUAUUAUACUAUACAAUCCCAUAAACUCUGUAGUGAAAUACAGAAGAAAAUAAAGACAAAUAAAGACAGACAUAAUGUGACACUGUUUUAUUGCAUUAGUUAAAGUAAAGGUAAAGGUUUCUCCUGACAUUAAGUCUAGUCAUGUCCGACUCUGUGGGUUGGUGCUCAUCUCCAUUUCUAAGCCGAAGAACUGGCAUUGUCCAUAGACACUUCCAAGGUCACGUGGCCAGCAUAACUGCAUGGAACGCUGUUACCUUCCUGCUGGAGCAGUAACUAUUGAUCUACUCAUAUUUGGAUGUUUUUGAACGGCUAGGUUGGCAGAAGUUGGGGCUAACAGUGGGCACUCACCUCGCUCCCUGGAUUCGAAUCACCAGCUUUUCAGUCAGCAAGUUCAACAGCUCAGCGGUUUAACCCGUUGCAUCACCGGGCAUUAUAAAUAUAUAUAUGCUAGAAUAGAGUCAUCUGAGUUUGUGAUACUUCUGUUAGUUAUGGUCCAUUUACUUUAGUGGUCUAACCUAAUUCUUGAAGAUACACAGUAACAAACAACAACAAACAAAUAUUGCUAUUAGUCAAUAGCCUCUUUCCAAGUUAUAUAGGCGGCUGGUUGAUUAUGUAUGGGUCGGGUAGAGAUCACUUUGCUGUCCUCCAUGGCAUGUGGUCAGAUUUAAUUGCAUCCUGGCACCAUAUACAAAUGGAGCUAAGUUAUUUAAGGCAGCUACAGUUCUAUCUCUUAGUAUUUGGAGAUUGUCCAUCCAUCCUUCUGCUUCUGGUCAUAGUGCAAGUCUCUGGUCAGUACAGAGCCAGGUAGAUUUUGUCCCUUACAUUAUGUCCCCUCCCCCACCCCUGGGCUCCCCAACACUGUCAUGGGGGACUUCACAAUUGGCUCAGAGUGGUGUUGUCCACAGGACUUUCUGGCAGGUUUUGAAGGGUCAAUGAACACCAUCUGUCAGACAUUUGGUGAAGGAUGGGAAUUUGGAACUGUCCCUGAGUAUCAAGAGCUCAAGAAGAAAGAAGUUUUUUUGUAGCUGGCUUGGGAGCAAUCCUGCAUUUCAGAGAUUCCUCUCAGAGAUUAUAGUGUUUUCACCUAGGAGAAACUGGAGUCUGUGGUCUGGAAAAAAAACUACUACUCCCAUUGCUCCCACACCAGAUUGUUCUCUCCUUUUUAAUUUUGCUUAUGACCAAAAACAAUUAAAUAAGUUAAUAAUUAAUAAAGUUUAUCCCAUAUUUUGUGUCUGGUCUUGUUAUUCCUUGGUUGACCAAGGGAUAAUAAAUGUAUUUACAUGAGCCAGUUUUAAUUAUUCUGUGAGGACAAGACAUUAACCUUUGCUGUAAAAUGGAGAGAUAAUUAACUGGUGGGAGUGCUUAUAACAAAUUUCCAGUAUUACUUUGAUAUCUCUAUCUAAGACAGUGGUUCUCAACCUGUGGGUCCCCAGGUGUUUUGGACUACAACUCCCAGAAGUCUCAGCCAGUUUACCAGCUGUUGGGAUUUCUGGGAGUUGAUGGCCAAACAUCUGGGGACCCAUAGGUUGAGAACUACUUAUCUAGGGUGAGCUAGUUUGAACAAUAUGAAGUUGCUAUAAAUCUAAAUAUUUUUAGUUGUUUUGAUUGUGCUAAAAAGUCAUAAUAUUCUCCAGUAGAGAAGUUUAAGAACACACUCCCCCAUUUUCAUUGUCCCUGGCUGCAAUAGGAUUUAGUCAAUUGUUCUAAGGCCAUUCGAGGAAGACACAUGAAGCAUGAAAAAUCACCUUUAAUACAACUCACCAUUUAAAAAUUUACCAUUUAUCUCGACUUACUGCUAACAGUGUGAAUGGCACUGAUGGAUAUCGAAUUUUUGUUGUUGUUUUGAGUCAUAUCUAACCCUCUGACAAUGCUUUUAUUUAUGUUAGCAAAGCUGAUGAAUACGUCUGUUGAACAUCUUAAGUUUCUCUCCCCCCACCUUCAACCUUUUCUAAUAAUGUCAUUAGGAGUUGCAAGUUCAAUGAUUUGGUUUUCUAUAAAUACAUUACAUUGUUGGAGAAUAAAUCAGAAACAUAAAUUAUGAUAGUAUUAAUCUCCUUUGCAAGACUGGAUUGCAAACAAUAGGACAGUGAUUGAUAGACAGAAAGACAGCUAUCAAGACAGGGAUUUUUUUAUGUGAUGGUUGUGAAAGUAAAGAUACAGUCUACUGUGUGAACUACUUUUAUCUGAAAACUGGGUGUAAAAAGGCACAGGAGUGUUUCUGUAAUAGCCUAAAAUUUUGUAAUUCAAGUUGCUUGUUUCUUCACGUACUAUACCAGCAGUGAAAUAAUCCAAACUAUGAACAACCGUUUGCUAAAUAUUCAAGAUAAUGAACAUACUAUCCAUGUCUUUAAAAGUACCAUCAAUGACAAAAUGUAAAAGAAAUACAUUAAAUUCCCAAUUAUUGAUGAACACUUUUGCAGUUCAGGGUUUCUUCAUGCAAAAAUUACACAUGGUUGAUUUGCACAGAAAGUCAUGUUUUCUGCACAGCAUUUUCUUUGCCAAAAACAAUGUGUUGUUUUAUUUUUAUUGAAAUGCUUGUUAUUCUUUUUAAAUAGAUAUAUAAAUAAAACAGUAUUUGCAAAAGUUAAGUCUCUGUCCCUUUUCUCCAUUGUACUAUUUUUAUUUUAACAUUUUAGAGGUAUAUAGAAUGACAUUCUACUUUCAAGGGAAGGGAAGCCAUAGUAUCUUGAUUCUCUUUUUCCUCUUAUCUCCUUACUAGAAAAUUAUUCCAUAGGUUAUGGAAGCCACUGAGUUCAAAUAUUAGUAGGUUUAAUUAUUAAUUACUUAAUUAGCAAUUAAUUAAUUCUGCAUUUUCCCAACACAUAAUCAAUUUAAUUAAUUUAAUUCAUAGAAAAAUAUAUUUCUAGAAUCAUAGAGUUGGAAGAGACCUCACGGGCCAUCCAGUCCAACCCCCUGCAAGAAGCAGGAAAAUCUCAUUCAAAGCACCCCCGACAGGUGGCCAUCCAGCCUCUGCUUAAAAGCCUCCAAAGAAGGAGCCUUCACCACAUUCCGCGGCAGAGAGUUCCACUGCCGAACAGCUCUCACAGUGAGGAAGUUCUUCCUGAUGUUCAGGUGGAAUCUCCUUUCCUGUAGUUUGAAGCCAUUGUUCUGCGUCCUAGUCUGCAGGGCAGCAGCAAACAAGCUUGUUCCCUCCUCCCUAUGACUUCCCCUCACAUAUUUGUACAUGGCUAUCAUGUCUCCUCUCAGCCUUCUCUUCUGCAGGCUAAACAUGUCCAGCUCUUUAAGCCGCUCCUCAUAGGUCUUCUUCUCCAGACCCUUAAUCAUUUUAGUCACCCUCCUCUAGACGCCUUCCAGCUUAUCAACAUCUCCCUUCAACUGCAGUACCCAGAUUUGGACACAGUAUUCCAGGUGUGGUUUGACCAAGGCAGAAUAGAGGGGGAGCGUGACUUCCCUGGAUCUAGAUGCUAUACACCUAUUUAUGCAAGCCAAAAUCCCAUUGGCUUUUUUCGCCACCACAUCACAUUGUAGGCUCAUGUCUAAGUUGUUGUCCAUGAGGACUCCAAGGUCUUUUUUACAUGUACUGCUGUCGAGGCAGGCAUCCCUCAUUCUGUACCUUUGCAUUUCAUUUUUUCUGCCUAAGUGAAGUAUCUUGCAUUUGUACCUGUUGAACUUCAUUUUGUUAGUUUCGACCUAUCUCUCUAAUCUGUCAAGAUCGUUUUGAAUUCUGCUCCUGUCUUCUGGAGUGUUAGCUAUCUCUCCCAGUUUGGUGUCAUCUGCAAACUUGAUGAUCUCAAAUUUUCACAAAAAUGUUCCAUGUGCAGCUAAGGUAGUAUCUUUGGGUGGAAUGUCUUUGUAGAAAACCAUUGUCUAUGUCAUCUCUUUGGCCGUGGUCCUUUCUCUGAAGUUAUGAGGUAGGAAGAAUUUAAUUUUAAAGAUUCCUUUGAAAAAAAGAUGUACAAUAGCCAACAAAACUGCAAACAAAUAUUUGUUGCUUGGUAAAGUUAACCACACUUGAGUUUACACAGUAAAUAUAUAAGCCAAAAAUGACACUUUGCUGGAAUAGGCUCAAUGGCCCCAGAAGAAAAAUGCUUACUUGUUAGAAAAUCAAUUCCUGUAUGUUGGUCUCCUCUGAUCUAACUAGCACAUAGUACUAUUUACUACACUUCACAACAGCCAUAACAGAUAGAGUUAUAUAGCAGAUGUCCCGAGGAUAAAUGGCUUCAAUUAUUUUAUUCUGCAGAACAAUAAGAGUCAUGUUGAUGAUGUUGCUGCAAUGAGAACAAUUGCACUAUUUCCACUUGUUAGACAGCAUCAGCUGUAUUGAGGGAGCCUUAACACAGAGCUUGUUAUCAAUUGUGGAAAUGUUAGCCACAGAGCUGGAUACAGGUUUGUCUGAGCCAGUUUUGUAACUGAACAGUAAAGUAUGGAAUUAAAACUGGGUCACAUCCCUAUAACAAUUUUGACCUGUGUCCAAAUUAAGCUUAAUGCAAUGUGUGUCUUGUGUGCUUGGCUAUACAUUUUCUUAAGAGUAUAUCCACAUGGCACUAAAGAACGGACAUUGAUUUACUUCCAUAACACAUCUAACAUUCCACAUACCUAGGAAUAAAACCCAUACUGGCUUUUGUUUACCAGUACAGGUUUGAUUCUUGGGUAUCUGUAGAGUGCUAUCAAUCCAAAUAAAUCUAUAGCAUAGCUUUUGAUGAUUCAUAGAACUUGGGAACUGGAAAAGAUGAAAGGGUUAUCACCCUGCACAACAAAGAGCCCUUCCUCUACCAUCUUGUAGAAGAAUUAUGAACUAUGGAAAC
RNA transcript from Anolis carolinensis (green anole), 8554 nucleotides. RefSeq lists it as uncharacterized. The transcript has 2 exons. The record is from RefSeq and is a predicted model, not a curated record. NCBI's taxonomy places the organism in Eukaryota, Metazoa, Chordata, Lepidosauria, Squamata, Anolidae.